CGAAAGCCUGACGGAGCAACGCCGCGUGAGGGAUGAAGGCCUCUGGGCUGUAAACCUCUUUUCUCAAGGAAGAAGAUCUGACGGUACUUGAGGAAUAAGCCACGGCUAAUUCCGUGCCAGCAGCCGCGGUAAUACGGGAGUGGCAAGCGUUAUCCGGGAUCAUUGGGCGUAAAGCGUCCGCAGGCGGCCUUGAAAGUCUGUCGUUAAAGCGUGGAGCUUAACUCCAUUUCAGCGAUGGAAACUACAAGGCUUGAGUGUGGUAGGGGCAGAGGGAAUUCCCGGUGUAGCGGUGAAAUGCGUAGAUAUCGGGAAGAACACCAGUGGCGAAGGCGCUCUGCUGGGCCAUAACUGACGCUCAUGGACGAAAGCCAGGGGAGCG
This 379-nucleotide ribosomal RNA is filed under the name uncultured cyanobacterium. Its description in RNAcentral is "bacterial SSU rRNA". It matches the Rfam family "Bacterial small subunit ribosomal RNA", at positions 376 to 770 of the family's 1533-position model. The record is from RNAcentral. Lineage: Bacteria; Bacillati; Cyanobacteriota.